GAUGAACGCUGGCGGCGUGCCUAAUACAUGCAAGUCGAGCGAACGGACGAGAAGCUUGCUUCUCUGAUGUUAGCGGCGGACGGGUGAGUAACACGUGGAUAACCUACCUAUAAGACUUGGAUAACUUCGGGAAACCGGAGCUAAUACCGGAUAAUAUUUUGAACCGCAUGGUUCAAAAGUGAAAGACGGUCUUGCUGUCACUUAUAGAUGGAUCCGCGCUGCAUUAGCUAGUUGGUAAGGUAACGGCUUACCAAGGCAACGAUGCAUAGCCGACCUGAGAGGGUGAUCGGCCACACUGGAACUGAGACACGGUCCAGACUCCUACGGGAGGCAGCAGUAGGGAAUCUUCCGCAAUGGGCGAAAGCCUGACGGAGCAACGCCGCGUUAGUGAUGAAGGUCUUCGGAUCGUAAAACUCUGUUAUUAGGGAAGAACAUAUGUGUAAGUAACUGUGCACAUCUUGACGGUACCUAAUCAGAAAGCCACGGCUAACUACGUG
Molecule: ribosomal RNA, 497 nt
Filed under: uncultured bacterium
Lineage: Bacteria
Description: partial 16S ribosomal RNA
Rfam family: Bacterial small subunit ribosomal RNA
Source: RNAcentral